RNAcentral lists this long non-coding RNA (386 nucleotides) under Coturnix japonica (Japanese quail). RNAcentral describes it as "lncRNA (ENSCJPG00005006769.1)". Lineage: Eukaryota; Metazoa; Chordata; Aves; Galliformes; Phasianidae. The record is from RNAcentral.
GAGCAGGUUUGACAUCCCCUCCCCAAGGAUGUGUCCAGAUGAGGUAGACAUAGCACUAAGGGAAGCAGCAUGGUUCUCAUCAAAGGAAUUGUGCAGUACAACUUCUUAAGAAUAUUGGGAACAGGACCUAAGGCCCAAUGAAACUCCAGAGUUUCCUAGAGUUCCAAAGCAUACUCUGAUAUACACACAUACAUUAUAUGUAGUUCUUACAUACAUCAGCCUGAAUGUGUGGCCUCUUCCUAUAAGAGUCUUCACUCCCUGUUGUCCCCACAGUCCUGUACUGACCAAAAGGUAACUCUCCACCUCCAAACCCUGCCCUCCAAAUGCUGGUUCAGUUGUUGCUCAGCUACCUGUGAAACUUUAGUGACCACAAGGCUUCAACUCCC